Molecule: ribosomal RNA, 254 nt
Filed under: uncultured bacterium
Lineage: Bacteria
Description: partial 16S ribosomal RNA
Rfam family: Bacterial small subunit ribosomal RNA
Source: RNAcentral
UACGAAGGGGGCUAGCGUUGCUCGGAAUUACUGGGCGUAAAGCGCACGUAGGCGGCUCUUUAAGUCGGAGGUGAAAUCCUGGAGCUCAACUCCAGAACUGCCUUCGAUACUGUAGAGCUUGAGUUCGGGAGAGGUGAGUGGAACUGCGAGUGUAGAGGUGAAAUUCGUAGAUAUUCGCAAGAACACCAGUGGCGAAGGCGGCUCACUGGCCCGAUACUGACGCUGAGGUGCGAAAGCGUGGGGAGCAAACAGGG